UGGGGAAUUUUGGACAAUGGGGGAAACCCUGAUCCAGCCAUCCCGCGUGUGCGAUGAAGGCCUUCGGGUUGUAAAGCACUUUUGGCAGGAAAGAAACGUCAUGGGUUAAUACCCCGUGAAACUGACGGUACCUGCAGAAUAAGCACCGGCUAACUACGUGCCAGCAGCCGCGGUAAUACGUAGGGUGCAAGCGUUAAUCGGAAUUACUGGGCGUAAAGCGUGCGCAGGCGGUUCGGAAAGAAAGAUGUGAAAUCCCAGAGCUCAACUUUGGAACUGCAUUUUUAACUACCGGGCUAGAGUGUGUUAGAGGGAGGUGGAAUUCCGCGUGUAGCAGUGAAAUGCGUAGAUAUGCGGAGGAACACCGAUGGCGAAGGCAGCCUCCUGGGAUAACACUGACGCUCAUGCACGAAAGCGUGGGGAGCAAACAGG
RNAcentral lists this ribosomal RNA (429 nucleotides) under Acidobacteriota bacterium. RNAcentral describes it as "Acidobacteria bacterium partial 16S ribosomal RNA". It matches the Rfam family "Bacterial small subunit ribosomal RNA", at positions 355 to 776 of the family's 1533-position model. The record is from RNAcentral. Lineage: Bacteria; Pseudomonadati; Acidobacteriota.